Molecule: long non-coding RNA, 1105 nt
Organism: Carcharodon carcharias (great white shark)
Lineage: Eukaryota; Metazoa; Chordata; Chondrichthyes; Lamniformes; Lamnidae
Exons: 2
Source: RefSeq, a predicted model, not a curated record
GGACGGUUUGGGAGGAGGGAGGAGAUUGUGAGCACAGGGUUUGCAAUUCAGUUUGUGUUGGAGAUUGAAGCGAAUCUGAUUUCAAAAUGAGUUCACAAAGCAGGUCAAUAUUAAAUCCAGAAACAAAACCUGAGAAAAAAAUGUCUCGAUCACAAUGUCUGGAUGGAUGUGCAGCAAGAAGUGGAAGUUGUGAAUGAUGUUAUCGAUGACUGAGCAGGAAGCACUGGACUUGUGAUGGUUGAUUUCCUUUCUGCCGUUGCAUUCAGAGCAAACUGAAUCACCAGUGGAAACCACUGCUUGCCUUGCUCUAAUAAGAGAUUUGGAUGUGCAAUUACUGCAUGUCCGGUGAGCUCAACCAGUAAAGCAAAACUUUGCUGCUUUAAUGCGUGAAGCCCAGCUCUCCAUUUCUGUGGCAGUAACAUCACUCCGAAACUGAGCUUUUCUCCUGCAUGCUUUUGUUAAUAUCAAUAUUUCUGCUUUAUAGUGAAAACCCUCCUCUGUUUCACUGGAAGCACAAGACACACAUUUGUAGCUGAGGCCGAAUGUAUAAUGAAUGAUGAAACUUUAAAACAAGAAGUUCCAGUCAAGCCCCUAUAUCAACAAAACUGCUCCGAGUCACAGAAUUAGAAUGGCCACUUCCUGGGGGACCAACAGCAGCUGGUGAACAUUAAACCUGAUCCAGAGAGGAAUGAUCUGAUACAUCAGAUUGGGGACAGGAUUCGGGAGCUCCCCUUGAACAUUAUUCACAUCAAAAUGAGCGAGGAGGAAGGAUUGGAUACAAUGGGUUUGUAUUCUUUGGAACAGGGAAGGCUCAGGGGAAAUUUAAUUGUGAUGCAUUAAAAUUGUGCGGGACCUAGAUACUGUGGAUAGGGAGAACUUAUUUCCGUGAGCAAUGAGAUCAAUAACCAGGGGCUUAGAUUUAGGAAGAAAGAAAUCCUCACAUUUAUGUAGCACCUUCCACCAUCCCAAAACACUUUACAGUCAGUGAAGUUCUUGUUGUAAAGUAGGAAACUUUGCAAACUCUCACAAGCAGCAACAUAAUAAUGACCAAAUCAUCUGUUCUUGUGAUGUUGGUUGAGGAAUAAAUAUUGGCCUGGGCACAGAA